RNAcentral lists this ribosomal RNA (253 nucleotides) under uncultured bacterium. RNAcentral describes it as "partial 16S ribosomal RNA". It matches the Rfam family "Bacterial small subunit ribosomal RNA", at positions 524 to 776 of the family's 1533-position model. The record is from RNAcentral.
GACAGAGGGUGCAAACGUUGUUCGGAAUUACUGGGCGUAAAGCGCGUGUAGGCUGCUUCGCAAGUCGGAUGUGAAAGCCCUGGGCUCAACCUAGGAAGUGCAUUCGAAACUGCGAAGCUUGAGUCCUGGAGAGGAAGGCGGAAUUCUCGGUGUAGAGGUGAAAUUCGUAGAUAUCGAGAGGAACACCGGUGGCGAAGGCGGCCUUCUGGACAGUGACUGACGCUGAGACGCGAAAGCGUGGGGAGCGAACAGG